ACGGAAGGCAGCAGUGGGGAAUAUUGGUCAAUGGGCGGAAGCCUGAACCAGCCAUGCCGCGUGAAGGAAUAAGGCCCUAUGGGUCGUAAACUUCUUUUGAGCGGGAGCAAUAAGGCGUACGUGUACGCUGAUGAGAGUACCGUUCGAAUAAGCAUCGGCUAACUCCGUGCCAGCAGCCGCGGUAAUACGGAAGGUCCGGGCGUUAUCCGGAUUUAUUGGGUUUAAAGGGAGCGUAGGCCGUGCUUUAAGCGUGUUGUGAAAUGUAGGCGCCCAACGUCUGCACUGCAGCGCGAACUGGAGCACUUGAGUACGCAGGAAGUAGGCGGAAUUCGUCGUGUAGCGGUGAAAUGCUUAGAUAUGACGAAGAACUCCGAUUGGGAAGCCAGCUUACUGUAGCGCCACUGACGCUGAUGCUCGAAAGCGUGGGUAUCGAACAGGAUUAGAUACCCUGGUA
This 454-nucleotide ribosomal RNA is filed under the name uncultured Prevotella sp. Its description in RNAcentral is "bacterial SSU rRNA". It matches the Rfam family "Bacterial small subunit ribosomal RNA", at positions 341 to 792 of the family's 1533-position model. The record is from RNAcentral. Lineage: Bacteria; Pseudomonadati; Bacteroidota; Bacteroidia; Bacteroidales; Prevotellaceae.